This 290-nucleotide unclassified non-coding RNA is filed under the name Hevea brasiliensis (rubber tree). The record is from RNAcentral. Lineage: Eukaryota; Viridiplantae; Streptophyta; Magnoliopsida; Malpighiales; Euphorbiaceae.
GGAAAGCAUCUUCCAUAAUCCUUGCUUCUCUCUCUGUGUUCAGAACAAAUUAGGGUUUGGUUUUGUGGUAUAUUUUAAGGAUUAUUGACAAUGAGUUCUACUGGUGGAUCGACCAAGGGCGGAAGAGGAAAGCCUAAGGCGUCGAAGUCUGUGUCGCGGUCGCAGAAGGCUGGGUUGCAGUUUCCCGUUGGGAGGAUCGCCAGGUUUCUCAAGGCCGGAAAAUAUGCAGAGCGUGUCGGUGCUGGAGCUCCUGUCUAUCUUUCUGCUGUCCUCGAGUACCUGGCUGCUGA